Molecule: ribosomal RNA, 253 nt
Filed under: uncultured bacterium
Lineage: Bacteria
Description: partial 16S ribosomal RNA
Rfam family: Bacterial small subunit ribosomal RNA
Source: RNAcentral
UACGUAGGGGGCAAGCGUUGUCCGGAUUUAUUGGGCGUAAAGAGCGUGUAGGCGGUCAGGUAGGUCGGCUGUGAAAACUGGAGGCUCAACCUUCAGAGGUCGACCGAAACCCCCUGGCUAGAGUCCGGGAGAGGAGAGUGGAAUUCCUGGUGUAGCGGUGAAAUGCGCAGAUAUCAGGAAGAACACCCGUGGCGAAAGCGGCUCUCUGGAACGGUACUGACGCUGAGACGCGAAAGCGUGGGGAGCGAACAGG